ACGUGCGAACAAGUUCCCAUUCUCUAUGUUUCAUGGCCUAUCAAUGAAAGUCGGUAUCAGGCUGGCUCGCUUGGCGGGUCGUCUCCUUAUAUACGUAAAUCCUCGUUUCACUCAUCUGUAAAGGUCUACCCUUCGAAAGGUAGGUUGAGUUCCCCCGUAUGUAGCCAGCCACACUCUACUCGCAGGUCAAAUAUUGGCGUAGACAACAGAGAAUGUGCUAGGUAGGAAACCGAAGGAACUCUUACUAUACGAGAAUUUUCAAUUCAAUAUGACAACCGAUCAGAAGGGAUUGGACGAUCCCAAUGCGUUGCCCUCCUUCGCAAUACCGGAACUAUCUGACCGAGC
This 345-nucleotide long non-coding RNA is filed under the name Hordeum vulgare. RNAcentral describes it as "long non-coding RNA (HVUL_LNC017693)". Lineage: Eukaryota; Viridiplantae; Streptophyta; Magnoliopsida; Poales; Poaceae. The record is from RNAcentral.